AUACGUAGGUGACAAGCGUUAUCCGGAUUUACUGGGUGUAAAGGGCGUGUAGGCGGUUUAGCAAGUCAGAAGUGAAAUUCCCGGGCUUAACUUGGGCGCUGCUUCUGAAACUGCUUUACUUGAGUGCUGGAGAGGAUAGUGGAAUUCCUAGUGUAGCGGUAAAAUGCGCAGAUAUUAGGAGGAACACCGGUGGCGAAGGCGGCUAUCUGGACAGUAACUGACGCUGAGGCGCGAAAGCACGGGGAGCAAACAGGAUUAGAUACCCUGGUAGUCCGUGCCGUAAACGAUGAAUACUAGGUGUAGGGGGUAUCGACUCCCUCUGUGCCGCAGUUAACACAUUAAGUAUUCCACCUGGGGAGUACGGCCGCAAGGUUGAAACUCAAAUGAAUUGACGGGG
This 397-nucleotide ribosomal RNA is filed under the name uncultured bacterium. Its description in RNAcentral is "partial 16S ribosomal RNA". It matches the Rfam family "Bacterial small subunit ribosomal RNA", at positions 523 to 918 of the family's 1533-position model. The record is from RNAcentral.